AGUAAGGUGACCUCUCUGGCCCCAGCCCGUGCACCAUCAGGUACCCUUUCUCCUGAUUUCAGCCUUUUCUGUUCAACUGGCUCUUUCCACAUAAACCUAAAGAGAACUCUCUGCCUAUAUGGCUGAUUCUGAACCUGGAGAAAGAAACUAUGACAACAUGUUGAAAAUGCUGUCAGACCUGAAUAAAGACUUGGAAAAGCUACUGGAAGAGAUGGAGAAGAUCUCAGUGCAAGCCACAUGGAUGGCCUACGACAUGGUGGUGAUGCGCACCAACCCCACGCUGGCAGAGUCCAUGCGCCGACUGGAGGAUGCCUUCCUCAACUGCAAGGAGGAGAUGGAGAAGAACUGGCAAGAGCUGCUCAAUGAGACCAAGCACAAACAAUAGGCCCCUGCCCACCCACGGCCGCCACGCUGCCGUCUGCCGGAGCGGAGGGGCCCUGGGGCACGGAGCCUCCUCUGCUGGCAGAGCAACAGCAACCGAAAUAUAUAGUUGUAUGAAUAGUACUUGUUUCUCAAUAAACUUAUUUUUAAGGACAACCGAGGACCCCUUUCUGUCCUACCCAGCAGCUUUCCAAACCUUGCAAACAAAAAAUGAGAAUUAUAAGAUGCAGAUGCCUUCAAUGAAUUAAAUAUAUUUAGUGCCAGCAGCACCGAGCAGAAUAAAAAGCAAAAAUGGGGCUGGAUAGGGACAAACCAGGUCAGAUGGUGGGACGGGCAGCAGUAGUCAGUCAGAUUUAUUUGCCUUCCUGUGGUGGAUUCCAAAAUAGGUAAAGGGCAACAUCAUUCAUUCAUCCUGGGCACUGUCCGAGGUGCUCACAAAUGUGACCGUAUGUUCUCACAAGUCUCCUGAGUGACAGAUGGUCGUUAUCCCCAUUUCACAGAGGAGAAGAAUGAAGGUAACGUCGAAGUCUGUGGCUCAUGGGAAAGAACUCGGGAGAAGCUGGGCCUCGUGUAAGAACCGGCGUUGGUGGGAGGUUCCAGCGGCAAGUGCCAUCGUCCUUAGGACUGUCCUGCGUCUCAGCCAACCUGCCUCUGCCUGCGGACCCUCCGACCCCCAGGCCUCCUGCACAGCGUCCCAGCUUGGAGCCGGGGCGCCUCAGGCUGUCGGGGCAGAGUUACCCACCGGGAGAUGUUAUCUGCAGCUUUAGCAACACGAUGCAGCCGAAGAGAUUAAGAAACCCAANNNNNNNNNNNNNNNNNNNNNNNCGGGGGCGGGGGAGGGGGGGGCAGGAGAGGCGCAGGCCGUGGGGCCAACCCUGCAGGCUUGUCUCAGAUGGAGGAGGGCACGCAUCCUCUCGCUAAGCUCUGCCCCGCAACGUGCACCUCCUGUCACCUGGGGGAGAGGGGGUGGACUGGAACUUGCACUGUUCUCUCCCAGAAUGCAUGAGGGCCUGGGAGGGACCAGGCCUAAAGCCACUCCCUUCCUCCAGCAGCCUCUGGAAGUCCCUCAUCCUGAGCUCAGAAGAGGCAGGAUGGAGUUUUCAAAAGCAAUGUUCUAAGCUGACAAGAGGAAAAAAAUGAACAAAAUCAAACCCAAAGUUGUAUUUCCUUAUUGGCCUGAUUAUCCCAAUCUGCCUGCCCUCUCCAGCGCCUGCUGGGCUUCCCCUGCACCCCAAGGGCACCUGCCGGCUCGGAUUCCUCUCAUGCCCCCAGAAAGCCUGAGCCCAGCCUGCCUCAGCUCCAAUGCCACAGCAGCCAGCCCCCAGGGGCCCUCCAAGACCUCCGCUGACCCCGUGCGUCGCCCUGGCUCCUGGCUGCCCAUCCCAUCCCCUGGCCCUCCCCCGUCUUUGCCAAACCACUGCAGUCCGCUGUCCUCCAUGGAAGUCAACCCCUCACAGGCCAGCACGUAGACACCUGUGCGGGCCGUGCACCUGGCCUGCCUUGGCCUGUUCCGCAGGUACGAGCCACGUCUUGUCCACCUGCUCCUCACUUAACCCUAGGCACAUGGGGCCCAGACGUGAACAGGAGCCAGGAGUCUCUGGGACAAAGGCGCCCCCCCCCAACAUGUAUUCGUUUCUUUUUCUAGGACACAGGACCUCUCCCUGACUCGGACACUGAGGAGACGGCCAAGAAGCAUCCCUGGCACCCAGCCCGGGUUCCGCUGGACCUCAGGUGCGUCACCCAUCUGGUGGCUUCCCAGCUCCCCAGAGCGUAUUAGAUUGACUGUUAGAGGGUGGAAGGCGGGCCCAAGCUUUAAGGUGGACCUCAAGUUGGUGGCAGGCUUUAUGGACAUUGUACCUAUACCCGUCCCCGUCCCAGGCUCUGUCUCUUGGUUGUUUGGGGUCCAAAGGCCCUGAAAAGA
Molecule: long non-coding RNA, 2302 nt
Organism: Vulpes vulpes (red fox)
Lineage: Eukaryota; Metazoa; Chordata; Mammalia; Carnivora; Canidae
Source: Ensembl